AGUGGACGCUGGCGGUAGGCCUAACACAUGCAAGUCGAACGGCAGCACAGUAAGAGCUUGCUCUUACGGGUGGCGAGUGGCGGACGGGUGAGGAAUACAUCGGAAUCUACUUUUUCGUGGGGGAUAACGUAGGGAAACUUACGCUAAUACCGCAUACGACCUACGGGUGAAAGCAGGGGAUCUUCUGACCUUGCGCGAUUGAAUGAGCCGAUGUCGGAUUAGCUAGUUGGCGGGGUAAAGGCCCACCAAGGCGACGAUCCGUAGCUGGUCUGAGAGGAUGAUCAGCCACACUGGAACUGAGAAACGGUCCAGACUCCUACGGGAGGCAGCAGUGGAGAAUAUUAGACAAUGGGCGAAAGCCUGAUACAGCCAUACCGCGUGGGUGAAGAAGGCGUUCGGGUUGUAAAGCCAUUUUGUUGGGAAAGAAAAGCAGCAGGUUAAUACCCCGCUGUUAUGACGGUACCCGAAGAAUAAGCACCGGCUAACUUCGUG
This 492-nucleotide ribosomal RNA is filed under the name uncultured bacterium. RNAcentral's name for it is "partial 16S ribosomal RNA". It matches the Rfam family "Bacterial small subunit ribosomal RNA", at positions 29 to 507 of the family's 1533-position model. The record is from RNAcentral.